Molecule: unclassified non-coding RNA, 279 nt
Filed under: Archaeorhizomyces sp.
Lineage: Eukaryota; Fungi; Ascomycota; Archaeorhizomycetes; Archaeorhizomycetales; Archaeorhizomycetaceae
Description: partial contains 5.8S ribosomal RNA, internal transcribed spacer 2, and large subunit ribosomal RNA
Rfam family: 5.8S ribosomal RNA (bases 1-69)
Source: RNAcentral
GUGAAUCAUCGAAUCUUUGAACGCACAUUGCGCCUCCUGUUACAGGGAGGCAUGCCUGUCUGAGCGUCAUUUAAACCCAUGCCAUUGGCGAGCUUCGUCAUCGGCGUGUUGGGCCCUCGUCGACCGGGUGUCGACGUGGCCUCGAAUCCAUCGGUCGGUUUUGAGCGGACGAGAUCCCCUGGGACAUUGACCGUUCAUGCGACCCUAAAGACUUUGAAAUCUUGACCUCAGAUCAGGUAGGAACACCGCCUGAACUUAAGCAUAUCAAUAAGCGGAGGA